This 417-nucleotide long non-coding RNA is filed under the name Anas platyrhynchos platyrhynchos (common mallard). Its description in RNAcentral is "lncRNA (ENSAPLG00000019675.1)". The record is from RNAcentral. Lineage: Eukaryota; Metazoa; Chordata; Aves; Anseriformes; Anatidae.
AUGAGAGCCUGCACUGUCUCACAUGGUCUUCCCCAGGAGCAAUGGAGCUGUACACAUACUGUGCCUUUGCAUAUCUCUGUGCUACCAGUCAAAAUAAAUGGUGACAUGCCACGAGAUGGCACAGAUGGUUUGAGUCAGCCAACUGAUGAGAUGAAGGCAACCCAGACCUCAGCUCAGGUUUUGCUGGGGUCUGGGGACGUGGAUUUAGCCUCUUCACCACUCAGCUAUUUCUUCCCUGAUUUAAUUGAGGUGCAACCACUUAAUAACCUCCGCUAAUGGGGAGGGACCUUCUCUUUAUAAAUACAGACUUGGGAGGCUUGGGCUCUGACAAAGCCUACUUAGCAACUCCAAGUAAUGACGAUCUAUUUUAACAGUGACCAUUAUUAUUAAUAAAAUCAACCAGCCAGGACUCUGUCA